GAUGAACGCUGGCGGCGUGCCUAAUACAUGCAAGUCGAGCGAACGGACGAGAAGCUUGCUUCUUUGAUGUUAGCGGCGGACGGGUGAGUAACACGUGGAUAACCUACCUAUAAGACUGGGAUAACUUCGGGAAAUCGGAGCUAAUACCGGAUAAUAUUUUGAACCGCAUGGUUCAAAAGUGAACGACGGUCUUGCUGUCACUUAUAGAUGGAUCCGCGCUGCAUUAGCUAGUUGGUAAGGUAACGGCUUACCAAGGCAACGAUGCAUAGCCGACCUGAGAGGGUGAUCGGCCACACUGGAACUGAGACACGGUCCAGACUCCUACGGGAGGCAGCAGUAGGGAAUCUUCCGCAAUGGGCGAAAGCCUGACGGAGCAACGCCGCGUGAGUGAUGAAGGUCUUCGGAUCGUAAAACUCUGUUAUUAGGGAAGAACAUAUGUGUAAGUAACUGUGCACAUCUUGACGGUACCUAAUCAGAAAGCCACGGCUAACUACGUGCCAGCAGCCGCGGUAAUACGUAGGUGGCAAGCGUUAUCCGGAAUUAUUGGGCGUAAAGCGCGCGUAGGCGGUUUUUUAAGUCUGAUGUGAAAGCCCACGGCUCAACCGUGGAGGGUCAUUGGAAACUGGAAAACUUGAGUGCAGAAGAGGAAAGUGGAAUUCCAUGUGUAGCGGUGAAAUGCGCAGAGAUAUGGAGGAACACCAGUGGCGAAGGCGACUUUCUGGUCUGUAACUGACGCUGAUGUGCGAAAGCGUGGGGAUCAAACAGGAUUAGAUACCCUGGUAGUCCACGCCGUAAACGAUGAGUGCUAAGUGUUAGGGGGUUUCCGCCCCUUAGUGCUGCAGCUAACGCAUUAAGCACUCCGCCUGGGGAGUACGACCGCAAGGUUGAAACUCAAAGGAAUUGACGGGGACCCGCACAAGCGGUGGAGCAUGUGGUUUAAUUCGAAGCAACGCGAAGAACCUUACCAAAUCUUGACAUCCUUUGACAACUCUAGAGAUAGAGCCUUCCCCUUCGGGGGACAAAGUGACAGGUGGUGCAUGGUUGUCGUCAGCUCGUGUCGUGAGAUGUUGGGUUAAGUCCCGCAACGAGCGCAACCCUUAAGCUUAGUUGCCAUCAUUAAGUUGGGCACUCUAAGUUGACUGCCGGUGACAAACCGGAGGAAGGUGGGGAUGACGUCAAAUCAUCAUGCCCCUUAUGAUUUGGGCUACACACGUGCUACAAUGGACAAUACAAAGGGCAGCGAAACCGCGAGGUCAAGCAAAUCCCAUAAAGUUGUUCUCAGUUCGGAUUGUAGUCUGCAACUCGACUACAUGAAGCUGGAAUCGCUAGUAAUCGUAGAUCAGCAUGCUACGGUGAAUACGUUCCCGGGUCU
This 1372-nucleotide ribosomal RNA is filed under the name uncultured bacterium. Its description in RNAcentral is "bacterial SSU rRNA". It matches the Rfam family "Bacterial small subunit ribosomal RNA", at positions 28 to 1381 of the family's 1533-position model. The record is from RNAcentral.